Molecule: non-coding RNA, 346 nt
Organism: Pelobates cultripes (western spadefoot toad)
Lineage: Eukaryota; Metazoa; Chordata; Amphibia; Anura; Pelobatidae
Source: the annotation of a GenBank genome assembly
UGAUGUGAGGAUGAUCUCAUUAUUCGGUAGUGUUGAUUGAGCUGAUUUAGCUGACUAUGCGAGGUUCACUUCCUCUCUCACUGGUCCAUGCGUGUCCUUCCAGAAGCUGCAUGCUAGCUUAACCCCUUAAGGACCAAACUUCUGGAAUACAAGGGAAUUAUGACAUGUCAGACAUGUCAUGUGUCCUUAAGGGGUUAAAUAUGAUAUCAUAAUUAUUCGGUCCAGGGUUUAUAAGUAGAUGCAGUCAUUUGCUAGAAAUCCUUGGUGAAUCCUUGGUGUGCUCAUGUGCCCAGUGUGUGCAGGUACAUCCCAAUGCAAAGCCAAACUGAUUUCCCUGUUUCUGUUU